UUGAACGCUGGCGGCAGGCCUAACACAUGCAAGUCGAGCGGAUGAAGGGAGCUUGCUCCUGGAUUCAGCGGCGGACGGGUGAGUAAUGCCUAGGAAUCUGCCUGGUAGUGGGAGAUAACGUCCGGAAACGGGCGCUAAUACCGCAUACGUCCUGAGGGAGAAAGUGGGGGAUCUUCGGACCUCACGCUAUCAGAUGAGCCUAGGUCGGAUUAGCUAGUUGGUGGGGUAAAGGCCUACCAAGGCGACGAUCCGUAACUGGUCUGAGAGGAUGAUCAGUCACACUGGAACUGAGACACGGUCCAGACUCCUACGGGAGGCAGCAGUGGGGAAUAUUGGACAAUGGGCGAAAGCCUGAUCCAGCCAUGCCGCGUGUGUGAAGAAGGUCUUCGGAUUGUAAAGCACUUUAAGUUGGGAGGAAGGGCAGUAAGUUAAUACCUUGCUGUUUUGACGUUACCAACAGAAUAAGCACCGGCUAACUUCGUG
This 483-nucleotide ribosomal RNA is filed under the name uncultured bacterium. RNAcentral describes it as "partial 16S ribosomal RNA". It matches the Rfam family "Bacterial small subunit ribosomal RNA", at positions 30 to 507 of the family's 1533-position model. The record is from RNAcentral.